CAGCCGCCGCGGUAAUACCGGCGGCCCGAGUGGCGGCCACUAUUAUUGGGCUUAAAGCGUCCGGAGCCGGGUUGGUUAGUCUCCCGGGAAAUCUGGCCGCUUAAAGGUCAGAAUUCCGGGAGAUACUGCCAGCCUAGGGACCGGGAGAGGCCGAGGGUAUUCCCGGAGUAGGGGUGAAAUCCUAUAAUCCCGGGAGGACCACCUGUGGCGAAGGCGCUCUGCUGGAACGGGUCCGACGGUGAGGGACGAAGGCCAGGGGAGCAAACCGGAUUAGAUACCCGGGUAGUCCUGGCUGUAAACGAUGCGGACUUUGUGUCGGACAAGCUAUGAGCUUGUCCGGUGCCGGAGGGAAACCGUUAAGUCCGCCGCCUGGGGAGUACGGCCGCAAGGCUGAAACUUAAAGGAAUUGGCGGG
RNAcentral lists this ribosomal RNA (414 nucleotides) under uncultured microorganism. RNAcentral's name for it is "bacterial SSU rRNA". It matches the Rfam family "Archaeal small subunit ribosomal RNA", at positions 459 to 872 of the family's 1478-position model. The record is from RNAcentral.